RNAcentral lists this ribosomal RNA (779 nucleotides) under uncultured Neocallimastigales. RNAcentral's name for it is "partial large subunit ribosomal RNA". It matches the Rfam family "Eukaryotic large subunit ribosomal RNA", at positions 24 to 647 of the family's 3401-position model. Lineage: Eukaryota; Fungi; Neocallimastigomycota; Neocallimastigomycetes; Neocallimastigales. The record is from RNAcentral.
UUAUCUCUGUAGAGUCUGCAUAUCAAUAAGCGGAGGAAAAGAAACUAACAAGGAUUCCCUUAGUAACGGCGAGUGAAGCGGGAAGAGCUCAAAUUUGAAAUCUUCAAGGUUCUACCUUGACGAAUUGUAGUUUAUAGAAGUGUUUUCUGUUAGUAGAGUGGCAAAAGUUCUUUGGAAUAGGACAUUAUAGAGGGUGAGAAUCCCGUAUUUGGUCAUUCUUUCUAGCUUUGUGAUACACUUUCAACGAGUCGGAUUGUUUGGGAAUGCAGUCCAAAAUGGGUGGUAAAUUUCAUCUAAAGCUAAAUAUUGGCGAGAGACCGAUAGCGAACAAGUACCGUGAGGGAAAGAUGAAAAGAACUUUGAAAAGAGAGUUAAACAGUACGUGAAAUUGUCAAAAGGGAAGCGUUUGACACCAGUGUUGUUUUUCCGAAAAUCAAUUACGAAUGUUUUGUUUUUGAGAAGUUAUGACUUCAUCGGCUUGCUUCUUUCUUUACGAAACUUUCUUAAUGCACUUUUCGGUUAACAAGUCAACAUCAAUUUCUUUUGUUGUAAAAGGGUACGAGGAAGGUGGCUUUCUUUUCGGAGAAAGUGUUUAUAGCCUUGUGCUCUCUGCAAUCGGAGAGACUUGAGGUCUGCAGCGUAGACUCUUCGGGGUUAGAUACAUUUGUGCUAAGUUAAUAGCUUUUUCAUAGACAACUUGUUGACUAUAUUUAGUCUUGUAGCUUACUCGCUUAUGCUAUUUUACCUACGCUUAGGAUGUUGACGCAUGAGAUAUACGC